CUGUAGCUUAACUACAGAACUGCAUUUGAAACUGUUAUUCUAGAGUGUGGGAGAGGUAGGUGGAAUUCUUGGUGUAGGGGUAAAAUCCGUAGAGAUCAAGAGGAAUACUCAUUGCGAAGGCGACCUACUGGAACAUUACUGACGCUGAUGCGCGAAAGCGUGGGGAGCAAACAGGAUUAGAUACCCUGGUAGUCCACGCCCUAAACGAUGAAUGCUAGUUGUUGGGGUGCUUGUCACUCCAGUAAUGCAGUUAACACAUUAAGCAUUCCGCCUGGGGAGUACGGUCGCAAGAUUAAAACUCAAAGGAAUAGACGGGGACCCGCACAAGCGGUGGAGCAUGUGGUUUAAUUCGAUGCUACGCGAAGAACCUUACCUAGGCUUGACAUUGAUAGAAUCUGCUAGAAAUAGCGGAGUGUCUAGUUUACUAGACCUUGAAAACAGGUGCUGCACGGCUGUCGUCAGCUCGUGUCGUGAGAUGUUGGGUUAAGUCCCGCAACGAGCGCAACCCUCGUUCUUAGUUGCUAGCAGUUCGGCUGAGCACUCUAAGAAGACUGCCUUCCGUAAGGAGGAGGAAGGUGAGGACGACGUUAAGUCAUCAUGGCCCUUACGCCUAGGGCUACACACGUGCUACAAUGGGGUGCACAAAGAGACGCAAUACCGCGAGGUGGAGCAAAUCUCAAAAACAUCUCUCAGUUCGGAUUGUAGUCUGCAACUCGACUACAUGAAGCUGGAAUCGCUAGUAAUCGUGAAUCAGCCAUGUCACGGUGAAUACGUUCCCGGGUCUUGUACUCACCGCCCGUCACACCAUGGGAGUUGUAUUCGCCUUAAGCCGGGAUGCUAAAUUGGCUACCGUCCACGGCGGAUGCAGCGACUGGGGUGAAGUCGUAACAAGGUAACCGUAGUGAACC
RNAcentral lists this ribosomal RNA (908 nucleotides) under Helicobacter mustelae. RNAcentral's name for it is "bacterial SSU rRNA". It matches the Rfam family "Bacterial small subunit ribosomal RNA", at positions 602 to 1512 of the family's 1533-position model. The record is from RNAcentral. Lineage: Bacteria; Pseudomonadati; Campylobacterota; Epsilonproteobacteria; Campylobacterales; Helicobacteraceae.